Molecule: ribosomal RNA, 678 nt
Filed under: uncultured marine benthic group D euryarchaeote
Lineage: Archaea; Methanobacteriati; Methanobacteriota
Description: bacterial SSU rRNA
Rfam family: Archaeal small subunit ribosomal RNA
Source: RNAcentral
CCCUAUGGGGUGCAGCAGGCGCGAAAACUUCACACUGUGCGAAAGCACGAUGAGGGAAUCCCAAGUGCUUGCUCGUAAGAGUAAGCUGUUUUUAUGUCCAAAAAGCAUAGAGAGUAAGGGCUGGGUAAGACGGGUGCCAGCCGCCGCGGUAAUACCUGCAGCUCAAGUGGUGACCACUAUUAUUGGGCCUAAAACGUUCGUAGCCGGUUUAUUAAAUGCUUGGGUAAAUCGUGUAGCUUAACUAUACGAAUUCCGGGUAGACUGAUAGACUUGAGACCGGGAGAAGCUAGAGGUACUCCUGGGGUAGAGGUGAAAUUCUGUAAUCCUGGGGGGACCACCAGUGGCGAAGGCGUCUAGCUAGAACGGGUCUGACGGUGAGGAACGAAGCCCUGGGGCGCAAACCGGAUUAGAUACCCGGGUAGUCCAGGGUGUAAACGCUGCUUGCUUGAUGUUAGUUGGGCUCCGAGCCCAAUUAGUGUCGGAGAGAAGUUGUUAAGCAAGCUGCCUGGGAAGUACGAUCGCAAGAUUGAAACUUAAAGGAAUUGGCGGGGGAGCACAGCAACGGGUGGAGCGUGCGGUUUAAUUGGAUUCAACGCCGGAAAACUCACCGGAGGCGACGGUUACAUGAAGGCCAGGCUGAUGACCUUGCCUGAUUUUCCGAGAAGAAGUGCAUGGGCC